RNAcentral lists this ribosomal RNA (497 nucleotides) under uncultured bacterium. Its description in RNAcentral is "partial 16S ribosomal RNA". It matches the Rfam family "Bacterial small subunit ribosomal RNA", at positions 28 to 507 of the family's 1533-position model. The record is from RNAcentral.
GAUGACCGCUGGCGGCGUGCCUAAUACAUGCAAGUCGAGCGAACGGACGAGAAGCUUGCUUCUCUGAUGUUAGCGGCGGACGGGUGAGUAACACGUGGAUAACCUACCUAUAAGACUGGGAUAACUUCGGGAAACCGGAGCUAAUACCGGAUAAUAUUUUGAACCGCAUGGUUCAAAAGUGAAAGACGGUCUUGCUGUCACUUAUAGAUGGAUCCGCGCUGCAUUAGCUAGUUGGUAAGGUAACGGCUUACCAAGGCAACGAUGCAUAGCCGACCUGAGAGGGUGAUCGGCCACACUGGAACUGAGACACGGUCCAGACUCCUACGGGAGGCAGCAGUAGGGAAUCUUCCGCAAUGGGCGAAAGCCUGACGGAGCAACGCCGCGUGAGUGAUGAAGGUCUUCGGAUCGUAAAACUCUGUUAUUAGGGAAGAACAUAUGUGUAAGUAACUGUGCACAUCUUGACGGUACCUAAUCAGAAAGCCACGGCUAACUACGUG